This 29-nucleotide non-coding RNA is filed under the name Rattus norvegicus (Norway rat). The record is from RNAcentral. Lineage: Eukaryota; Metazoa; Chordata; Mammalia; Rodentia; Muridae.
UCUCAGUAUCUUUGUUGCAUGCAGACUUU